GGAGAGGUGCUGGAGCGGUUGAACAGGCCGGUCUCGAAAACCGGAGUGGGGGUAACUCCACCGUGGGUUCGAAUCCCACCCUCUCCGCCU
This 90-nucleotide transfer RNA is filed under the name Acidobacteriota bacterium. RNAcentral describes it as "Acidobacteria bacterium tRNA-Ser". It matches the Rfam family "tRNA". Rfam says of the family: Transfer RNA (tRNA) molecules are approximately 80 nucleotides in length. Lineage: Bacteria; Pseudomonadati; Acidobacteriota. The record is from RNAcentral.